CAGUCGCCACGGGAAUACGGAGGGUGCAAGCGUUAAUCGGAAUUACUGGGCGUAAAGCGUGCGUAGGCGGUUCGUUAAGUCUGUUGUGAAAGCCCCGGGCUCAACCUGGGAAUGGCAAUGGAUACUGGCGAGCUAGAGUGUGUCAGAGGAUGGUAGAAUUCCCGGUGUAGCGGUGAAAUGCGUAGAGAUCGGGAGGAACAUCAGUGGCGAAGGCGGCCAUCUGGGACAACACUGACGCUGAGGCACGAAAGCGUGGGGAGCAAACAGGAUUAGAUACCCCCGUAGUCCCUGUCUCUUAUAC
This 301-nucleotide ribosomal RNA is filed under the name uncultured bacterium. Its description in RNAcentral is "partial 16S ribosomal RNA". It matches the Rfam family "Bacterial small subunit ribosomal RNA", at positions 509 to 807 of the family's 1533-position model. The record is from RNAcentral.